This is a long non-coding RNA of Ornithodoros turicata, 425 nucleotides long. RefSeq lists it as uncharacterized. NCBI's taxonomy places the organism in Eukaryota, Metazoa, Arthropoda, Arachnida, Ixodida, Argasidae. The transcript is spliced from 3 exons. The record is from RefSeq and is a predicted model, not a curated record.
GCAGGGGACCGCCGGCCAAACCGGACGCCAUUCUCCGCAUUCUCCUCAGAUUAUAAUCGUCAGUUGAAGUUAAUUUUGCUUUUUCUUGGCUUGGUUUGGAAUUGAAUCGACUUGUGCUGGUAGGAUAACGUCUAUGAUAUCGCUAAGCACAGCUCUUCCUCACACUGCUGGGAUAUAUAGGAGGUUUGUUACGACGGAGAUUACCGGCGCUGCCCGCAAGUCCAUCGUGUGCGGUUUAGGAAUUAUUUGUAGAAACAGCAGGCGUAGUCGCAAAGAAAGAAGACAACAUGGACGUCGGAACGACGCGGCUUCCUGCAAGGUUGGAGUGCCUUUCAACAAGUAAAACGGCCUGAACAUCAGUAGGCAACACGCACAAGGCAUGAACAUCCUCAUAUGUGAAUAAACAUUAUAUUCACAACGUUUCA